This 497-nucleotide ribosomal RNA is filed under the name uncultured bacterium. RNAcentral describes it as "partial 16S ribosomal RNA". It matches the Rfam family "Bacterial small subunit ribosomal RNA", at positions 28 to 507 of the family's 1533-position model. The record is from RNAcentral.
GAUGAACGCUGGCGGCGUGCCUAAUACAUGCAAGUCGAGCGAACAGACGAGGAGCUUGCUCCUCUGACGUUAGCGGCGGACGGGUGAGUAACACGUGGAUAACCUACCUAUAAGACUGGGAUAACUUCGGGAAACCGGAGCUAAUACCGGAUAAUAUAUUGAACCGCAUGGUUCAAUAGUGAAAGACGGUUUUGCUGUCACUUAUAGAUGGAUCCGUGCCGCAUUAGCUAGUUGGUAAGGUAACGGCUUACCAAGGCAACGAUGCGUAGCCGACCUGAGAGGGUGAUAGGCCACACUGGAACUGAGACACGGUCCAGACUCCUACGGGAGGCAGCAGUAGGGAAUCUUCCGCAAUGGGCGAAAGCCUGACGGAGCAACGCCGCGUGAGUGAUGAAGGUCUUCGGAUCGUAAAACUCUGUUAUUAGGGAAGAACAAAUGUGUAAGUAACUAUGCACGUCUUGACGGUACCUAAUCAGAAAGCCACGGCUAACUACGUG